This 450-nucleotide ribosomal RNA is filed under the name uncultured bacterium. Its description in RNAcentral is "SSU rRNA". It matches the Rfam family "Bacterial small subunit ribosomal RNA", at positions 26 to 518 of the family's 1533-position model. The record is from RNAcentral.
AGAGCGAACGCUGGCGGCAGGCUUAACACAUGCAAGUCGAGCGGGCGUAGCAAUACGUCAGCGGCAGACGGGUGAGUAACGCGUGGGAACAUACCUUUUGGUUCGGAACAACACAGGGAAACUUGUGCUAAUACCGGAUAAGCCCUUACGGGGAAAGAUUUAUCGCCGAAAGAUUGGCCCGCGUCUGAUUAGCUAGUUGGUGAGGUAACGGCUCACCAAGGCGACGAUCAGUAGCUGGUCUGAGAGGAUGAUCAGCCACAUUGGGACUGAGACACGGCCCAAACUCCUACGGGAGGCAGCAGUGGGAAUAUUGGACAAUGGGCGCAAGCCUGAUCCAGCCAUGCCGCGUGAGUGAUGAAGGCCCUAGGGUUGUAAAGCUUCUUUUGUGCGGGAAGAUAAUGACGGUACCGCAAGAAUAACGCCCCGGACUAACUUCGCGCCAGCAGCCGC